CAGGAGGGCUUUUUCUGUGGCUCUAGCAAUAAAUAGUCGCUGGCGUUUACAGAGUGCCCGGCAAGGUCCAGUGUUCAAAGGUCAGUGGACUAUGCCCCAGGCACCCGCUAGAGGGCACCAGAGUCAGGCCCUCUCUCCACCAACCCACGGCGGUUUCCAGAGCUCGCUGCGCCCGGGUUCUGACGCUGUGUAAGGCGGCGGCUCUCAGCCAAGCCGCCGCUCAGUUCCAACUACGAGACGCUUGGCACUUGUGUUUGGCUAAACAAGCAAUCAGAAUGACUUCAAUCCAAAGCCUAACUGGAAAAAUUACUCACGACAGUAUUGACAAAGAAGUCUUAGAAAAGGAGGACCUCCGCAGAAGAGAGAACCCAGGGCCAGCCGCAGAAGAGGAGAGAUUUACCAUACUGGAUGCAUACCCGAAAGGUUGAUUUUAAUCCUUCAUCCCCAAGUUAUACUAACACGGAGCUAUUAAUUUUUUGUCCCUGCUUCCACAGCCAGUGUGGGAAGGGGUACGCUGUGGGAGGCCUUGGGUUGGGGCACCCUUCGAGUGCUUUCUAGUGCGCUGCGGCAAUGGCGCAAAGUGCGGGUGCGCGUGUAUGCCAGAGAGACAGCGGCCCAGGACCAGUGAGAAGGGAGAGGGCGCAUCUGCAAGUCCCGCGAAGCUCGCGUGAGGUCUGCCACCUGCAAGUCACUUUGGGAGAGGCUCGUCCGUCCCUUGUUUCUCAGGAACAGCAAAGGAAAGUUAGGACAGGCACCGAGGGGUGGUCCGGAAGGGGUCCAAAUACCUACCGCUCCUCCCCCACCUCGAUGAAGAUGUCACCUGCAGCCACACACAGCUUGCUGCCCUGGACAAGGGAGCCGUGUGCUGUGUGGACAGGGACUGUUGGGUCACCCCGGAUCUGCCUUCUGGGCCGCUUCCCAUGGGCUGUUCCGCUUUCGAUGGGAAGUUCCAGUGCUGAUUUGUGAAAGCAGUGUGGACGGACUAUGGCAAGUUUGGAACUUUGACUCUGUCACCACAUGAACCCUUACAGUUCUACCUAGUUUCAGGGCCACUGGAAAGUAUUUCAGACACAAGGAGUGAACAGGAAAAAAUAAAUACAUGGCCCAAACCAGAAAGCAUGAUUCAAACACUGUGCUCAGGACCAAGGAAAUGGGAUCCCUGAGGUCAGCAGCAGGCUGGGCCUGUCCCCCGCCACAGGCAGGUCCCCACCAGCCCUCAGCUUUCCUGUGUGCCACGGGCGCCAAGCCUGCCCUAGCGCCGGCGCCCGGCCCCCCCCCCUUCCCUGCAGAAGCUUCCUGGAGGUGGCGCUGUGCCCCCACCACCUACAGGGACCCCCUUCCGGGGAGGGUGGCAGCGGCCUGGGCCCUGAGCUGUGGGGUUGAGGAGGUAGAAGAGUCCCUUCUAUUCCCUGUGGGGGGCCAGGAUGGGCCUCAGUGUUUCAGAGUGGGGGUCAGAGAAGAAAGCAUGGCCUCCUUAUCCGAGCAGUCCAACCAGAGGAGUGACGCCGGUUACAUACGAUGUAGAAUACUGCGCUGUCCCUGAGCACAGUGGCGCACCCGAGUCCCAGCAACUGGGAGGCUGAGAUGCGAGGAUUGCAAGUUUGAGCCCAGCCCGGGCAACUCAGGGAGACCAUGUCUCAAAAGAAAAAGAAAAAAAAAGGUGGGAGAGACUGGGGAUGUAGCUGAAUUUGGAAGUCCUGGGUUCAAUCCCCAGUACCACCAAAAACAAAAAUCAAAACCUAUAUUUACAAAUGCUGCAGUUUGGAUGCUGAAUGUUCCCCGAAAGCCCAUGUGUUAAAGUUUGGUCUUCAGCCUGCUCUGGAGAGUUGGUGGGAACUUUUUUGUGUGUGUGGGAACUUUUAUGAGGCAAGGCUGGGAGGGAGGUCCUGAGGUCAUGCCUGGCCCCUUUCUCGUCCUCUUUUUGCUUCCAGGUCAUCUGGGAAGCGGUCUCGAGAUGUUACGUGAUCCUGUCCCAAUGUGCUCCUCCUACCGGCCCAAAGCAAUGGUCCUACCAACCCCGGGCGGAAAUCUCCAGCUAACCUUUCAGUUUAUACAUUUAUUAUCUCGUUUUUCCUUAGAGGGACAUGAAGCUGACGAACAACAAAAAUGUUUUUCUCAAAAUUAAAAAGUCAUUAAAUUAUAUCCUGGAGUGACAUAAAGUCAGAUUGCUGGUGGUUUCUAAUGGUAGGAUUAUGGGCUAUUUAAGUUUCCUCUUUGCAUUUUCCUGUUUCCCAAAUUUCUGCAAGUAUUUGUAUCUGAUAACAGAAAUUAUGCAUACAGCAUUUUCACUCUUCUGUUAAGGUAGUAGCUCUACCCUGGAGACCUUUUCCAUGGGCUGAGAUCGGGCUGAGCAGGUCCACUCUGCUGAGGGGGACAAAUGUCAGUCUAGGCCAGGAAAAGGAGGGGCUUGGACCAGAAUAGAAGAAAUGGAAACCAGCUCACCUGACCAGCAGUUCUCAGGCCCCAGUGAGGGCCCCGGGAAAUCCCAGGCCAUGGUCCUGGUCCAGAGAGGUCUUCCCGGAGCAUGGCUGAACCUCAGGCCCUUGACUUAUUUUUCACAUUAUUUUAAAUCUAUUCUCCAGAAAAAUGCAUAUUUUUGGUAGAAAAGUUGCAUAUAGAGAAAACACAAGGAAAAACCACCACACAUACUUCCAUCACCCAAACUAACCAACAUUCCCAUUGUUGUACACAUUUCCCAUCUUCUCUUUUAACUCAAAAUCAGGAUUAUAUUGUAAAUAAUAUUUGAUAAACUUUCAUCUUUUUAUUUUUAUUUUAAAUAAAAUAGGUUUGUUGAGACAGAGUCUCGCUAUGUAAUUCAGGCUGGCCUUGGAUUCACAGCAAUUCUCCUGCCUCAGCCUCUUGAGUGCUGGGAUUACAGGUGUGGGCCACCACACCUGGCAUUAUUUUGAAAAUUUUCAAACCUACAGAAAUGAACCUUCACCUAGAUUCACCAGUUGUUAAUGUUUUAUCUCUCUCCCCAUAAAUAUUUUCCUAGAUUUCACCAUCUGUUAAAUUUUAACUGUGUCUAUAAAUAUUUUCCCAGGCCACUUGAAAAGAAGUUGUAAAUUUGGGAACAAAAGGUUGUCCUAAUUAAAAAAGAAAGAAAGAAGUUGUAGACAUUAUGAUACUUUCUCCUAAAUUCUUCAGCUGUGUCUAAGAGGAAGUCAUCAAGGGCUAGAAUAGAAAGCCCCCACGUGAAGAAUAGCCCAGGCUUGUCCGAAAAUCUUUACUAGGGGGCGGUCUCCUUCUCCGACUUCUCUCUGCCGCCCCCCAGGACUCAGGAGACAGACUUCUCUCCCGAGGAACGAGCCAGCUUCCUCCCGGCAGCCUGGCACCACGUAGGAAGGGCAUAACUGUAGCAGCUCGGAGGGCGGGGGGUGCAGCUCGGUGGCAGAGCGCUUGCUUAGCUUGCUCAAGGCCUGGGUUCCAUCCCCCAGUACCCUUCCCCUCCAAAGGAAAGGAAAGGAGAGGAGGGGAGGGGAGGAGAGAAGCGGAAGGGAGAGGAGACAGGUUAAAUGCUGAGCUGCAAAGCAAAGAUGAUCUGUGCUGCCACCUAGUGGUGAUAUCUAGAAUUCCCCCAGGUAUUUUGUUUUUGAGGCAGGGUCUCCCUGUGUAGUCUAGGCUGGCCUUGCCCUCACUAUGCAGUCCAGGCUGGCCUCGAACUCGUGAUGACCCUCCGUGCGCCUCCACAUCGGGCUCCCCCAGGCAUUUUGGAUUAACAAGGAGGGAUCUUUGCCCUAUCC
This 3743-nucleotide long non-coding RNA is filed under the name Heterocephalus glaber (naked mole-rat). Its description in RNAcentral is "lncRNA (ENSHGLG00000046956.1)". Lineage: Eukaryota; Metazoa; Chordata; Mammalia; Rodentia; Bathyergidae. The record is from RNAcentral.